This 597-nucleotide non-coding RNA is filed under the name Scleropages formosus (Asian bonytongue). RNAcentral describes it as "Eukaryotic large subunit ribosomal RNA". It matches the Rfam family "Eukaryotic large subunit ribosomal RNA", at positions 2503 to 3003 of the family's 3401-position model. The record is from Rfam by way of RNAcentral. Lineage: Eukaryota; Metazoa; Chordata; Actinopteri; Osteoglossiformes; Osteoglossidae.
CCUUCAGUGCCAGAGAAAUGAAUCCUCUGAAGGGACUGAAUGCUGUGAACAAAGACAUGUGUAUGGCCUGCCAGUGUGGAAAACUCCUCUGUGGUGAAGUUUCUGUCUAGAGUAAAUGUACACUAUGUUUUCUUAUUUACCUCAUGAUUUUCUCCAAAGCAACUUAUAGUAUUACGUAACCUGCUAUUACUCUUUGGCCAUUUAUACAGCUGGGCAAUUUCACUGGAGCAAUUUCUAACAAAGUACCUUGCUCAAGGUUACUACAGCUGGAGGUGAAAUUCAAACGUUUGACUUUUGGGUCUGUAGCUAACAGCUUGAACCAUGACACUGAUGCCUGCCCCCAAAUUAAUCCUUUGGUUUCUGUAUCUUUUCAAUGUUUAAAUUUGGGUUUCAAGCAGGAGGUGUCAAAGUUACCACAGGGAUUACUAGCUUGCGUCAGCCAAGCAUUCAGUGACGUCGCUUUUUGAUCCUUCGAUGUCAGCUCUUUCUAUCAUUAUGAAGCAGAAUUCACCAAGCGUUGGAUUGUUCACCUGCUAAUAGGGAACGUGAGCUGGGAUUAGAUCGUCAUGAGACAGGUUAGUCUUACCCUACUGAUGA